Molecule: ribosomal RNA, 445 nt
Filed under: uncultured bacterium
Lineage: Bacteria
Description: partial 16S ribosomal RNA
Rfam family: Bacterial small subunit ribosomal RNA
Source: RNAcentral
GUGAGGAAUAUUGGACAAUGGGCGCAAGCCUGAUCCAGCCAUGCCGCGUGCAGGAAGACGCAUCUAUGGUGUGUAAACUGCUUUUGUACGGGAAGAAACACUCCCUCGUGAGGGAGCUUGACGGUACCGUAAGAAUAAGGAUCGGCUAACUCCGUGCCAGCAGCCGCGGUAAUACGGAGGAUCCAAGCGUUAUCCGGAAUCAUUGGGUUUAAAGGGUCCGUAGGAGGUUUAAUAAGUCAGUGGUGAAAGCCCAUCGCUCAACGAUGGAACGGCCAUUGAUACUGUUAGACUUGAAUUACAAGGAAGUAACUAGAAUAUGUAGUGUAGCGGUGAAAUGCUUAGAUAUUACAUGGAAUACCAAUUGCGAAGGCAGGUUACUACUUGUGGAUUGACGCUGAUGGACGAAAGCGUGGGGAGCGAACAGGAUUAGAUACCCUGGUAGUCC